CUUAGCUAUCACACUUUGAGGGAUGAAUGCCUGCAUCAUAACAAGCAAUAAUACAUCCAGAUAUUAAUCUCAAUAAUCUAACCAGGGCUCGUGGACCCCUUGGAUCUAUCUGCGAAGGAGAUGAAGAGCCUAUGUGACUUUUGAGGUUGCUUGGUCAUAUCUAAACAGAAAGCCAAUGCCCUUCUAACAUCUAGUGCAUGAAAACAGGACUCCUGCAGAGAACUGUGGCUUUGUAACAGAUACUGGUAGAUGAAAGGAUUGGUUAAAGUGGAAUUCCAACAGAACCUUGGGUGUGUCUGACUGGAGAAUAAGUUAUGAGCCAACCCUGGAGGCAGUGGAGAUGUUCCCUCCUCGCGUGAUCGGUCAGAAAGGUGCAAGCUGCCAUAUGCCCCAGAAGCUGAAGACAAGUUCCUUAUUGUGGUUCAAAGGCUCCCCUGAAUUGCCCACACCAGACCUGACACCUUUACAAAUCUGUCUAAGGGAAGGUAGGCCGUAGCUGUCAACGAGUCCAAUGAUGCCCCUAUAAACUACCAUCUGUACAGGAAUUAAUGUGGAAUUUUUUUUUAACAUUCAGCUAACGACCGAAUUCCUGGAACAGAGCAAGGGCUGCCUGGGUGGAAGAUAGCACCGCUUUGUAGGAGCAACCCUUGACUAACCAGUCAUUGAAGUACAGGAAAACUAGGGUCACUUCUUGUCAGAGGUGUGUAGUAGCCUUAGAGUUCUUCAGUGUGUGUAAGAACUCAUCCAUGGUCUCCGAGAAAAGCUUAUGGCUGUCGAAGGGAAAGUCCUCAACAAUGUUCUGUACUUCUCUUGGAAACCUCAAGAUUUGGAGCCAUGAUGCCAUGUGCAUCACUACCACUGUGGAGAUGGACUUGGCAGCCAUGUCUGCAGAAUCCAAGGAUGCUUGAAGACCAGUAAUUGGCACCUUCAAAUAGUGGACUGGAAAUGCUCCCUACGUUCUUGUGGGAGAUGGUCAAUAUAGGCUGUAAAUCUAUGGUAGUUUGUAAAAUUAUAUUUGGCCAUGACCACCUGAUAGUUCGCAAUCAUGAACCACAGUAUUACUGAUGAGUAGGACUUCCAUCCAAAGAGAUCCAGUCUCUUUUGGUCUUUGUCAUAUGGGGGUAGAAUUGGAGAAGUGUUGCCUACCCUGCAUCCACAUUCAUUUACCGCACCCGCCACCAAAGAGCUAGGAGGAGUGGGGAGAACAAAAAAAAAAAAAACAAAAAACCACCAGAAUCCCGGGGAGCAUGUGGGGGUGGGGAAGGGACAUACUACUCCUUAUCCAUCCACUCACACAUUAGCAGAGUGGUGGCAGGUGUUUGGCACACAGUCUUAGGUGGACCCUCAUUAAUGGGUAAUGCCACUCUGGAGGAUGUUGCUGAUUGCAGGAUAUCCAACCGUUUGUGCUGAGAGUCCUUGACCUCUGAGUGCAAUUUGAAGAGUGUCAGCUACUCUCUUUAUGAGGUCUUCAAAUUACUGAAACUUGUCAGCCAUGGAAGGUGGCAGAGGCAUAACCUCCUCAUCUGAAGAUGAGGUUGUGAUGUUAUUGACAUGAACUGGGACCGUAUAGAUCAUCGUUGCAACCAAAGUCCUGUAGUGGCACCAAAUCUUGUAUAAAGGGAGGGUCAAAUAAGGUGUCUGAGA
This is a long non-coding RNA of Chelonia mydas (Green sea turtle), 1644 nucleotides long. RefSeq lists it as uncharacterized. NCBI's taxonomy places the organism in Eukaryota, Metazoa, Chordata, Testudines, Cheloniidae. The transcript is spliced from 3 exons. The record is from RefSeq and is a predicted model, not a curated record.